RNAcentral lists this unclassified non-coding RNA (383 nucleotides) under fungal sp. RNAcentral describes it as "partial internal transcribed spacer region". The stretch from base 1 to 46 matches the Rfam family "Eukaryotic small subunit ribosomal RNA", at positions 1786 to 1831 of the family's 1831-position model. The record is from RNAcentral. Lineage: Eukaryota; Fungi.
AAGUCGUAACAAGGUUUCCGUAGGUGAACCUGCGGAAGGAUCAUUAACGUAGUUUUGAUUUGGAGGAGAAAAGAGUUAACUCUCUUCUCUCUUUCCACUUCUUCACCACAUGUUGUGCUCUUAAAAGAUUGUCUUUGGUGGUUAAACUCAAAAUUUAUUUUUGAGGCACCCGUUGUUGUUAGUAAAAUAACCGCAACCAACUCGUGUUUUUGUUUGAUGUCUUGCAAAAGAUAGGAAAGAAAGACGACAAGCAAUGUUUUGCUUGGAAGAGGGGCCACCGCUUUUUUUAAACAACUUUUGUCUGUAUUUAUCUUUAUUCUGUUGAAAUACUUCAAAAACAUUUUAACAAGAAACAACUUUUGACAACGGAUCUCUUGGCUCUC